RNAcentral lists this ribosomal RNA (899 nucleotides) under uncultured bacterium. RNAcentral's name for it is "bacterial SSU rRNA". It matches the Rfam family "Bacterial small subunit ribosomal RNA", at positions 1 to 901 of the family's 1533-position model. The record is from RNAcentral.
AAGGGUUUGAUCCUGGCUCAGAUUGAACGCUGGCGGCAGGCCUAACACAUGCAAGUCGAGCGGAUGAAGGGAGCUUGCUCCUGGAUUCAGCGGCGGACGGGUGAGUAAUGCCUAGGAAUCUGCCUGGUAGUGGGGGAUAACGUCCGGAAACGGGCGCUAAUACCGCAUACGUCCUGAGGGAGAAAGUGGGGGAUCUUCGGACCUCACGCUAUCAGAUGAGCCUAGGUCGGAUUAGCUAGUUGGUGGGGUAAAGGCCUACCAAGGCGACGAUCCGUAACUGGUCUGAGAGGAUGAUCAGUCACACUGGAACUGAGACACGGUCCAGACUCCUACGGGAGGCAGCAGUGGGGAAUAUUGGACAAUGGGCGAAAGCCUGAUCCAGCCAUGCCGCGUGUGUGAAGAAGGUCUUCGGAUUGUAAAGCACUUUAAGUUGGGAGGAAGGGCAGUAAGUUAAUACCUUGCUGUUUUGACGUUACCAACAGAAUAAGCACCGGCUAACUUCGUGCCAGCAGCCGCGGUAAUACGAAGGGUGCAAGCGUUAAUCGGAAUUACUGGGCGUAAAGCGCGCGUAGGUGGUUCAGCAAGUUGGAUGUGAAAUCCCCGGGCUCAACCUGGGAACUGCAUCCAAAACUACUGAGCUAGAGUACGGUAGAGGGUGGUGGAAUUUCCUGUGUAGCGGUGAAAUGCGUAGAUAUAGGAAGGAACACCAGUGGCGAAGGCGACCACCUGGACUGAUACUGACACUGAGGUGCGAAAGCGUGGGGAGCAAACAGGAUUAGAUACCCUGGUAGUCCACGCCGUAAACGAUGUCGACUAGCCGUUGGGAUCCUUGAGAUCUUAGUGGCGCAGCUAACGCGAUAAGUCGACCGCCUGGGGAGUACGGCCGCAAGGUUAAAACU